This 1218-nucleotide ribosomal RNA is filed under the name Candidatus Vidania fulgoroideorum. Its description in RNAcentral is "bacterial SSU rRNA". It matches the Rfam family "Bacterial small subunit ribosomal RNA", at positions 97 to 1397 of the family's 1533-position model. Lineage: Bacteria; Pseudomonadati; Pseudomonadota; Betaproteobacteria. The record is from RNAcentral.
GGCAAACGGGUGAGUAAAAUAUUAGAACAUACCCAAAAGAUGGGGAUAAGAUAACGAAAGUUAUUGUAAACCGCAAUAAAACCCUACAAUAAAGCAGGGUGAAAAUCAUAAUGCUUUUGGAUUGGCUAAUAACAGAUUAGCUAGUUGGUGACGUAAAGGGUUAACAAGGCUAAGAUCUGUAGUUGUUCUGGAAGGAAGCACAACCACACUGGGACUGAGACAAGGCCCAGACUCCUACGGGAGGCAGCAGUGAGGAAUCUUGGACAAUGAGCGAAAGCUUGAUCCAGCAAUACCGCGUGUGCGAUGAAGGGAAACUGUAAAGCACUUUUUUAGGGGAAUAAAGCAGAUGAAUGUACCUUAAGAAAAAGUACCGGCUAAUUACGUGCCAGCAGCCGCGGUAAAACGUAAGGUGCAAGCGUUAAUCGGUUUUAUUGGGCGUAAAGCGUGUGUAGGCGGAAUAUUAUGAAGGGUGUAAAAGAAUAAAGCCUAACUUUAUAAAGCACCCUUUACUAAUAAUCUGGAGUGUAGAUAGAGGAAGCAGAAUUCUGUGUGUAGCGGUGAAAUGUGUAAAUAUACAGAGGAAUACCAAAAGCGAAGGCAGCCUCCUUAUCUAACACUGACGCUGAUACACUAAAGCGUGGGGAGCAAACAGGAUUAGAUACCCUGGUAGUCCACGCCCUAAACGAUGUCAACUAACUGUUGGAACCAGUGGUGUAGCUAACGCAUUAAGUUGACCGCCUGGGGACUACGACCGCAAGGUUAAAACUCAAAGGAAUUGACGGGGACCCGCACAAGCGGUGGAUGAUGUGGAUUAAUUCGAUGCAACACGAAGAACCUUACCUACCCUUGACAUGUAUAGAACCCUCUUGAAAAAGAGGGGUGCCUAUAACACAGGUGCUGCAUGGCUGUCGUCAGCUCGUGUCGUGAGAUGUUUGGUUAAGUCCUAUAACGAGCGAAACCCUUUUUUCAUGUUGCUAAAGCACUCUUGAAAAACUGCCAAUGAAAAGUUGGAGGAAGGAAAGGAUGACGUCAAGUCCUCAUGGCCCUUAUGGGUAGGGCUUCACACGUCAUACAAUGGUUAACACAAAGGAAAAUCCUAAAAUUAACCUUAGUUCGGAUUGUGCUCUGAAACUCGGGCACAUGAAGCAGGAAUCGCUAGUAAUCGCAGAUCAGAAUGCUGCGGUGAAUACGUUCUCGGGUCUUGUACACACCGCCCGU